RNAcentral lists this ribosomal RNA (607 nucleotides) under uncultured Helotiales. Its description in RNAcentral is "eukaryotic LSU rRNA". The stretch from base 245 to 398 matches the Rfam family "5.8S ribosomal RNA". The record is from RNAcentral. Lineage: Eukaryota; Fungi; Ascomycota; Leotiomycetes; Helotiales.
CUUGGUCAUUUAGAGGAAGUAAAAGUCGUAACAAGGUUUCCGUAGGUGAACCUGCGGAAGGAUCAUUAAAAAAAAGAGAAACGUCCCGUUUUUUUCAUAAGAAUGGGUUCUAUUCCCUUAAACCGUGUCUACAUACCUUUGUUGCUUUGGCAGGCCGCCUUCGGGCGUCGGCUCCGGCUGAUAGUGCCUGCCAGAGGACCCAAACUCUAUGUUUAGUGAUGUCUGAGUACUAUAUAAUAUUUAAAACUUUCAACAACGGAUCUCUUGGUUCUGGCAUCGAUGAAGAACGCAGCGAAAUGCGAUAAGUAAUGUGAAUUGCAGAAUUCAGUGAAUCAUCGAAUCUUUGAACGCACAUUGCGCCCCUUGGUAUUCCGAGGGGCAUGCCUGUUCGAGCGUCAUUAUAACCACUCAAGCCUGGCUUGGUAUUGGGGUUUUCGCGUGUUCGCGGCCCUUAAAAUCAGUGGCGGUGCCGUCUGGCUCUAAGCGUAGUAAUUUCUCUCGCUAUAGGGUUCUGGUGGUUACUUGCCAAAACCCCCCAUUUUUUCUAGGUUGACCUCGGAUCAGGUAGGGAUACCCGCUGAACUUAAGCAUAUCAAUAAGCGGAGGA